UCCAGUACUGGUAGUUAGAGUUCCCGACCUUAUAAAUGAAGCUGGCCUUCUCCAUCCAAGCAACAAGCAAGAAUAGAAUACAUUUGGAGAGCUUUCGGCCAUGGCGAUGGACCAUUCAAAGGACAUCGACGCAGUGGUGGAAUCAUACUGUAUGUGUAACAUAAAUCGACGUCAUGGUUUCUCUCAAGAGAGCAGAUCUCAAAGCUCAUCAGCCUGUUCUUCGUUGUCCGUUCGACCUGGAAGAAGACAAAUUUUUACUUCAGGAAUUUAAUUAAUAAGCAUAAUUAUUCGAUCGAUUAUCUCCUUAUUAGCAUUUUUAAAGGUCCAUUAUAUAAUAAUCUGCUUAUUGAACACAAUCAAAGAGGGGCUAGCUUACAAUAUUCUCCUUCAAAUUUAAUUCUGAAACUGUAGUGUAUUUUUUGAUAUUUCAGAACAUUCAAGGUUUUAUCUUAACAAAAAUAUUUGUUAUUUGGAAAAUAAUUUGAUCGAUUCGGCAAACAAGUUCAGUUACAGACAAUUAAUUCAAUAGAAUCGGGUCUGUUAAUCAACCUUAUUAAGCUUUGGUUAAUAACAUGCAAGCUCUGAUAAACCAAAUAAUUAAUUUUGCUGGGUUGAUUAAAUUGUUUGAAUUAAUUGAAUACUUUUGCCUAUGUUUAGAUUUAAGUUUAAAGUUAAUUAAAUUACUAAUAAAUACUAUUAAAUUAUAGCAUGAUAUGCUACUAAACCUUUCUGAUGUUUGAAGUAAUGCAUCAUUAAAAUUUUCUUGAUGUAAAAUACUUAGGCUACGUUUGCGACUGCUUUUUCAUUAUUUCUUGAAGCAUUUUUCUAAGUAAAAAAUUAAAAUUCUUGUGCUAAAAUACUGAUUUAAGAAGUAGUAAGAAAGCCGACUCAAAUGAAUCCUUAAUGAAAAUUAUCAACAGAAGAUUAUUUUUGAACUUCCAACAUAAAAGCUUCAUAAUUCUGUCUAAAAUUUCAAUAGAUUUCCAA
This is a long non-coding RNA of Dendrobium catenatum, 987 nucleotides long. RefSeq lists it as uncharacterized. The transcript is spliced from 2 exons. The record is from RefSeq and is a predicted model, not a curated record. NCBI's taxonomy places the organism in Eukaryota, Viridiplantae, Streptophyta, Magnoliopsida, Asparagales, Orchidaceae.